CCUACGGGAGGCAGCAGUGGGGAAUAUUGCACAAUGGAGGGAACUCUGAUGCAGCGACGCCGCGUGAGUGAAGAAGUAAUUCGUUAUGUAAAGCUCUAUCAGCAGGGAAGAAAGAAGACGGUACCUGACUAAGAAGCCCCGGCUAACUACGUGCCAGCAGCCGCGGUAAUACGUAGGGGGCGAGCGUUAUCCGGAUUCACUGGGUGUAAAGGGAGCGUAGACGGCCGUGCAAGCCAGGAGUGAAAGCCCGGGGCCCAACCCCGGGACUGCUCUUGGAACUGUGCGGCUGGAGUGCGGGAGGGGCAGGCGGAAUUCCUGGUGUAGCGGUGAAAUGCGUAGAUAUCAGGAGGAACACCGGCGGCGAAGGCGGCCUGCUGGACCGCGACUGACGUUGAGGCUCGAAAGCGUGGGGAGCGAACAGGAUUAGAUACCCUUGUAGUC
This 441-nucleotide ribosomal RNA is filed under the name uncultured bacterium. RNAcentral describes it as "partial 16S ribosomal RNA". It matches the Rfam family "Bacterial small subunit ribosomal RNA", at positions 338 to 795 of the family's 1533-position model. The record is from RNAcentral.